Molecule: ribosomal RNA, 300 nt
Filed under: uncultured Pseudoalteromonas sp.
Lineage: Bacteria; Pseudomonadati; Pseudomonadota; Gammaproteobacteria; Alteromonadales; Pseudoalteromonadaceae
Description: bacterial SSU rRNA
Rfam family: Bacterial small subunit ribosomal RNA
Source: RNAcentral
UGCUUGGGAACAUGCCUUGAGGUGGGGGACAACAGUUGGAAACGACUGCUAAUACCGCAUAAUGUCUACGGACCAAAGGGGGCUUCGGACUCUUCGCCUUUAGGAAUAGGCCCAAGUGGGAUUAGCUAGUUGGUUGAGGUAAUGGCUCACCAAGGCAACGAUCCCUAGCUGGUUUGAGAGGAUGAUCAGCCACACUGGAACUGAGACACGGGUUCCAGACUCCUACGGGAGGCAGCAGUGGGGAAUAUUGCACAAUGGGACGAAAGCCUGAUGCAGCCAUGCCGCGUGUGUGAAGAAGGC